UACGAGGGGCGCAAGUGUUGUUCGGAAUCACUGGGCGUAAAGGGAGCGUAGGCGGGCUUUUAAGUUAGGUGUUUAAUCCCGGGGCCCAACCCCGGACCGGCACCUAAAACUGGGAGUCUUGAAUAGUGGAGAGGUCAGUGGAAUUGGGGGUGUAGCGGUGGAAUGCGUAGAGAUCCCCAAGAACACCAGUUGCGAAGGCGGCUGACUGGACACAUAUUGACGCUGAGGCUCGAAAGCAUGGGGAGCAAACAGG
This 253-nucleotide ribosomal RNA is filed under the name uncultured bacterium. Its description in RNAcentral is "partial 16S ribosomal RNA". It matches the Rfam family "Bacterial small subunit ribosomal RNA", at positions 524 to 776 of the family's 1533-position model. The record is from RNAcentral.